AUCAACUCUGGCUCCUGCAUAACAGGGCAAGCACUGAAUGAGAUUGAGUUACGGCAUAAGGACAUUCUCUAUCUGGAGGCCAGCAUUCGAGAGCUGCAUAGCAUGUUUAUGGAUAUAGCCAUGUUAGUCAAUAGCCAGGGUGAAAUGGCAAACAACAUAGCAAAGACUGUGAUGCAAGCUGGAAACUAUGUAGAUCAAGGGAAAGAGAACAUAGAAAAAGCUACUGAAUACAAGAAGUCCUGGCGGCUAAGACUGCCUAUAUUCAAGAACAAAGCAAAAGCAGCGACCAGCAAGGGCUCUUGAAUGAAUCUCGAACUUUGGAAUGUAUGUUGCUUGCUUUUGAGUUCUGUGAAAAUGAGGAAUUCAUACACCUUGCCUUUUCUUGAAAAAUCCCAUCGUGUCACAGUACUUAAUCUACGCCCUGUAUCUAUUGCUGAUCAGAUCAUUUUGAGUUGUCUUUGGGAUUUCCUCAGCCCAUAUACAAACAAACUGCUUUUAUUUGUUUCUGCUUAAAUGGUUAAUGAUUAAGCUUGCUCUCAGAUAAACAGCACUAGCAGGAUUUUUCUGAUGCAAUAUGACAACAGUCAAGUGUCAAGAGGUGUGUUUACAUGGACUAAUGUUCCUCAUUAGAAACAUUUAUGCUAUAUACAUGCAAAACAUGCUUAAUUUAUUCUUG
This is a long non-coding RNA of Cyprinus carpio (common carp), 676 nucleotides long. RefSeq lists it as uncharacterized. The transcript has 2 exons. Lineage: Eukaryota; Metazoa; Chordata; Actinopteri; Cypriniformes; Cyprinidae. The record is from RefSeq and is a predicted model, not a curated record.